Brienomyrus brachyistius is the source of this 491-nucleotide long non-coding RNA. RefSeq lists it as uncharacterized. The record is from RefSeq and is a predicted model, not a curated record. Lineage: Eukaryota; Metazoa; Chordata; Actinopteri; Osteoglossiformes; Mormyridae. The transcript has 3 exons.
UCACUGGUGAUGCCCUCGGUCAUAAUGUCUGUCAUCUUGCAGCAGGACGACAGCAUCCUCAUGCUGAGCUGGUCCACCACUAGGGCCUGGAAGAUGGAAGGGACAGAAGGAAACAGAUCAGGGAGACAGAGAGGAAGAUAGGGAGAGGAGGAAUAGAGGUGAGAGAGACGGGUCAGGAAGGAGAGGAAGAAGCAAAUUAAGAGAAUAGAUAUGAGAGAGACAGAUCAGGUAGAUAGACGGAGAUACAGUGAGAGGAGGAAUAGAGAUGAGAUACAGGUCAGGAAGACAGAGGGAGAAGCAAAUUAGAGAAUAGAUAUGAGAGAGACAGAUCAGGUAGAUAGACGGAGAUACAUUGAGAGGAGGAAUAGAGAUGAGAGACAGGUCAAGGAGACAGGAAGACAGGAAGAGGAGGAAUAAAGAUGAGAGACAGGUCAAGGAGACAGGAAGACAGGGAGAGGAGGAAUAAAGAUGAGAUACAGGUCAAGGAGACA